CUUCUGCCUAAUAGAUUCAUCUCUCUUGAUUGGACUGUAAAGGUCAUCAGAACAAGAACUUCUUCUUGUUUAUGAUUUCAUCACCAGGAUCUAGAAAAUGCCUGGCCGACAAACCGCCGAAGCCCAUUGCUUCCCCGCAAAGCCGCAAAGCCUUCAUAGGGCACACUCGAUGUUCCUGUCACAAACUGAAGUAACCUCAAUCUCUGCUCAUUAUUGAACCGUUCCACCGCAGCCCAGAACCAGCGGAUCACAAGAUGGCCGUCAUGAUAACCUGGUUAAAAAAAUGAGGUGGUAGUGGGGAGAAAGAGGAUGUAAGGAAAGGAGGAAGAAACAGAUGUGUUAACUGAA
Molecule: long non-coding RNA, 348 nt
Organism: Peromyscus eremicus (cactus mouse)
Lineage: Eukaryota; Metazoa; Chordata; Mammalia; Rodentia; Cricetidae
Exons: 2
Source: RefSeq, a predicted model, not a curated record